This 527-nucleotide ribosomal RNA is filed under the name Gambierdiscus australes. RNAcentral's name for it is "partial Bacterial large subunit ribosomal RNA". It matches the Rfam family "Bacterial large subunit ribosomal RNA", at positions 789 to 1317 of the family's 2925-position model. The record is from RNAcentral. Lineage: Eukaryota; Dinophyceae; Gonyaulacales; Pyrocystaceae.
UUGAAAAGCCAGGGGAUGACUUGUGGAUCGGAGUGAAAGGCUAAUCAAGCCCGGAGAUAGCUGGUUCUCCCCGAAAGCUAUUUAGGUAGCGCCUCGGACGAAUACCACAGGGGGUAGAGCACUGUUUCGGCUAGGGGGUCAUCCCGACUUACCAACCCGAUGCAAACUCCGAAUACCUGUGAGUACUAUCCGGGAGACACACGGCGGGUGCUAACGUCCGUCGUGGAGAGGGAAACAACCCAGACCGCCAGCUAAGGUCCCCAAGUACCAGUUAAGUGGGAAACGAUGUGGGAAGGCUCAGACAGCUAGGAGGUUGGCUUAGAAGCAGCCAUCCUUUAAAGAAAGCGUAAUAGCUCACUGGUCGAGUCGGCCCGCGCGGAAGAUGUAACGGGGCUAAGCGAUAUACCGAAGCUGCGGAUGCAUGUUUACAUGCAUGGUAGGGGAGCGUUCUGUACGUCUGUGAAGGUGAGUCGUAAGGCUUGCUGGAGAUAUCAGAAGUGCGAAUGCUGACAUGAGUAACGAUAAAG